This is a long non-coding RNA of Salvia splendens (bonfire salvia), 7009 nucleotides long. RefSeq lists it as uncharacterized. The transcript has 3 exons. The record is from RefSeq and is a predicted model, not a curated record. Lineage: Eukaryota; Viridiplantae; Streptophyta; Magnoliopsida; Lamiales; Lamiaceae.
AUUUUUUUUUGCGUUGGAGAUAAUAAUAAUUUUCAACAUGGAACUCAAUGGAUUUUUUUAGCAAUCAACUAGUUGAAUUCAAUUUCAAAGGAUGACUUGAGUAGCAUCUCAUUUUAUCACGUUGGACAAAGUACUCGGAAUUUGUGAAUCAAGACAUCACCUUGGAAAAUACAAACGUUGGGAGAGGAAAUUCCCAAUAAAUUGCAAUUGAAAGAAAGUCAAAAAGAUCUCCAAUUGGAAAUAGAAAUAAGAGAAGAUGCUAAGAGUUAUCAAAUGGUAUACUACACAUAUACAUAAGGGAAUGUAUGGACAUGUAUAAUGUUUAUGAAUGCACGGGAAUUUGCAAGUCAUAAUUUAACUCUUUCCCAAACAAGAAAUUUAAGAGACACACUUUACAAGGAAGAAGUCCAUCUUUCAUGGAAAAAUGUUACAUAAGAAUUUUGGGGAAGAAGACAUAUCUACUUUACAAAAGCUAUCCUACAUAGAGAGCUAUAAAUGGGCAAGGAAACAAUUGCUAUGAACUACACAAAUCCUUGAGGAUUUCCUCCACACCCAUCUCGAUUCCAUACACCAAUCUAUGCCAAGAGGUCAAUUUGUAGUCUCCUAGAGAUAGCAUGAGUUGUCCUUCCACCCGCCAAGGAAAUUACCAAGGAAAUUCCCAAAAAUAGUUAGAUUUCUUCUUCAACAAAAACCAAGGGAAAAUGUUAUUCAAGAAAAUUAUAAGGAGCCAUUUAAGAGCUUGCAAGAGUGUCCGUCACUACUCUCCUACAAAGCCAAGAUGGAGACAAGGAAUGAGAUAUCCCAAAUCUUUCCAAAGUGGAAGUAAUGACAAUUGGACGAAUAGUGGUGAGCUCAUCUUCUUAACCUAAAGAGUGAAAGUCCUUUUUCCCACAUGAGAAAUUAAGGAACGAGAUCAACAAGUAUAACUCUUUCCAAGAUUUUCAUCAAGAAGGCAGGAAGGCCUUUUUAACAAAUUCAAAAAAGAGAUGAACAACUAGCUCAAAGUAGCAAGUUAUACUCCCAAAAACCUACCACAAAGGGACAAAGAAAUCGGAUAUAUAACAACACCAAUCCACACUUCCUUCACCGUCUUUAUCGCUUAGAAAAUUUCAUCGAAGAAUCAGCAAGGAGUGAGAGGAGAGGGAGGAAGCACUCGAACAUCACAACAAUUACGGAAUCACCACAGCAAGGUAAUUCUCCCCAACAUCUUUUACGAAAAUAGCAUUCAUAUAGAUCCCAACAUAGCAAUUGUAAGAUAGGACAUAGAGAACAUAGAAGUAGCAUCAAUCAACAGUUAGAACCAACAUCAAGAUCAAGCCUUUAAUCACAACCAUUGUCCAUGCUUCUAAGAUCACACAUAGUUGCUGCCGAAAACUCAAACAUAAAGAAUUAAGUUUUAGUAGAAGUUAGAGGACUUAGCUUCAAGCCGAAGGGCUGCCCCACGACCUCCGACAGCGGCUAAGCCACGAUGGCAGCCGCGCGGACUCCUCUGCGGUAGCAACAGCAAUUACAAGAGCCGGCAGCGACGAGUGGAAAGGCAGCGGAGACCAGCGCCAACCGACUGCGCGAUGCCGAGCUGAGCACAGCGACGGAAACAACGAUGCUGCCGAGAGGGAACCUGCCGCCGUGAGGGUGCGACGGCGGUGGCAGUAGCGGCUCCUGGUCCGGCACGGAAUCGCCGCUGGGACGGCGUCGGAGGCUAGCUCCAGAGUCGCAGAGAGAGAGAGGAAGCUCGACGGUGAGAGAAAUAGAGAGAGAUAGGGAGAAGACCGAUGGGAAUCACCGGAGAUAGUGAGAGUCAUUCCAGCUAACUGGAUCUGCGGAUUUAUGGUGGGAAGUGAGAACAAUGACUCUAGAACAACUGGAGGAGACUACUUGGGAACAAUUCAGGACUGAGUUUUAUAAUAAGUAUGUUUCCCUGAACUAUCGAAAGGAAAAGGAAGUGGAAUUCUGUAACUUGAGACAGGGACCGAUGUCCAUGAACUACGAUCGGUUGCUCUGAGAUAUGUCCAAAUAUGCACCGGAGCAAGUGGAUUCUGAAGAGAAAAUGGCUAGGAAAUUUCGUGCCGGUCUGAGGCAAGAAAUUCGAAUGGCGUUGGUUAGCCACGGGAGGUUGACAUACCCUGAAUCUCUAAGAGAAGAACUAUAUGUUGAGUCAACUUUAGCAAAUGAGGAACACUCACCGGUCAUCACUACCGCAUCCCGCCAAGUACAGGCUCAAGUGCCUAGGAACAAGAAAUAGUUGAAGGGACAACUGACUCAACCCGGGCCCAGGAAAGCACGGCUAAAAUAGAACAAGCCACGAGGGUUUGGGAAGCAAACGACCCCCAAAACAGUAAGGAAAUAUCAACGAGAACCCCCCGUUUUCCCAGAGUGCAAUAGAACGCACUAUGGGAUAUGCAGGGAAAGAACAUGAGCUUGCUUUGCUUGUGGGAAGAACGGACAUUUUAAGGAGCAUUGCCCGACAAAACCCCUGAAAACCGAGACAAGGUCACACCAGAUAACGCAGCGUUCAGAACUGCGGACACUGCAUGCACAACCUGGGGCCAAUCCACAGGUGCCACCGCCAAAUUAUCAGCAGCCACAAGGUCUCCUGUCACAGGCUCGAGGGUAUAUCCCAGCGCAGGAGCGGCUAGAGGGAAAUCAGGGAAGCCUGUUAGGUAUGGGCAUUCCCUCGAAUUACCUGUUAUCAUACUGUUGGAUACGAGUACAUUACAUCCAUUUCAUAGCAGCAUUUUGAGUAGACACUUUAGAUAUCCACCGAUCAAGCUAAACAUAGGAUAAAGGUGUCCUCACCAUAGUAGGCCUUAUAAAUAGUAUGCAAAUUUGUUUGAACAUAGAAUUCACUGAGAGAGACUCUAAGUUAAUGGUUCACAAUUCGAAACGUUGGCAUAAUACUAGAAUUGGACUGGCUGGCGGAAGACCAUGCCACGGUCCCAUGCACAGACAAAAUUCUAUAAUCUCGAUGCUUUAGGUCGUUGAAUGAUUAGAGAAAGACAAAGGAGAAGUUGGAAAUGGUAGACGUCGCCGUAAAUUCCAGAUAUGUAACCGAAAAUACCACAAUACAGACAAGUGGAAUAUACGAUAGACCUAGAACCCGGAUCCGCCUCGAUAACAAGAGCACCUUACCAAAUACCAGUUGCACUAAAAGAUCUAAUGAAUCGUAUUUUUAACUGGCGCUUGAAAAAGAACCUAUUCUAGCUUUGUGUGACACAUUCGUCUAUUUGAAGGACGUGAGAAAACACUAAGGACAAUACAGGACUACGCUAGAAACGUUAAGAGCCGAGUAGCUCUAUGCUAAGAUUAGCAAGUUUUGAGUUCUGGCUUAACGAAGCAAAUUUCCUCGAACACAUGGUAGCAACGGAAAGGAAUCUGAGUAGAGCCACAGUAACAGACCACUGUAGGAGAAUAUCAAAGGAUCCUCUGAAAUUGCAAUAACAAUGACUCAAAAGCUCGAGAAAAGAGUCGAGAUUUCAUGACUCCCUGAGCAAAGUGAGCUCGCAAGAAGAGAAGAUAACUAUGGUGCUAGCACUAGUUACCAUAAAACUCGAAAUAGCUACAUCGUAUGCACCGACACACUGAAGGGAUUGACCUGGCUAUGGCUACACGCGGAAGGGUAGAGAGAUUAAUUAUGCAUCAUGGCAGCUCAGGCCUCAUGAGCUGAAAUACCCAACGCAUGAUCUAGAAUGGGCUGACAUAAUCUACAUACCAAAAAUUUGAGGCACCAACCUACGAAAUUUGGUGUAAAUUUUUUUUUCUAACCAUGAGAACCUCGUGCACUAUCAAACGGAAGGAUUUAGACAUACAAUAGAUUGAAUGUCUAAAGUUAGUAAAAAAACUACGACUGCAGCAUAAAUUAAUAUCCGAGCAAGGCUAACUUAGUGGCUGAUACGCUGAACCGCAAAACUCAAACAUGGUUAAAAGGAAGAGAAAUACUGCAAGGACUCGAUAGAUUGAGCCUAGAAGUAGAGCGUGCACCCGAGAAUGUGGGGAGAGAAUUUCCACUUGGGUAGAAGUGCCAAUCUCAGGAUCAAGAUCGUAAACACAUAAAAUUAGAGUAUGGCAAUAGAAGGUUACACCCGGAAGUAAAAGUAAGCGAAUGAAUGAGUUACCCUAAGGAACUGUGGGAAGAUCUCACAUUCGAAGGAAGAUCGUGUGUGGCAGAACAGUGAGAUGUCAAGGAUAAGAUCACAGGAAAUCCCACGACGCCCAGUCAUCAUGGAAGUAUCAAGAUGUGUUAGGAUCGGGAGAAGAAAAAUCCCAGGAACAAAUGAUUAAGAAUGAUACAUCGAUGGUUGUACAAGGAUAAUACAACCUGGGUGACAGUUGAUCGCCUCACUAUGCAUAGCCACUUUAUGACAAUCAGACAAGUUAUUUGAGUUGUACGCAUCUUCGUAAAAUACCAGUAAUUUUCACAUUAGACCAAAAUGAUAGAUUUAUGACUAGAUUUUGGAAGAAUCUACAUGAUUGGUUUCAAGAAUUUAUUACCACCGAUAAGGUGAUGAAGUGUCAAAGCGGGCGUAGGAAACGCCCGAAGACACGAUCGAGAGCCAAGGUGCUCGGUGUAGAAGGACAAUUGGGAACAAGUUUUUACCAGAGAUAGAGUCUGUUCAUAACAUCAGCUAUUAAGCAAAUAGUGAAAUGGUAUCGUAUGAAGCUUCACACGGAGAGGAGCUUAGACCACCCUCUAUAGAACGAGGUCAGUGAGAGAAAAGUAUUGGACCCUGAUUUCUAUUACGGAGGUGAUAGAAAUUUCUCAAGAAUCCUAGAGGGAAGAAAGGGGCCAGGACGGACAGAAGUCUCGCAGGGAUGUUAGACUCAUAGUUUAACAAGGAAAAACAAGGUUAAUUGAAGAGUAUCUCCCUCAAAGAGAUAAUUGGAUUCGAAGUCAAGGGAAACUUCGACCACAAUAUAUAGAUGUAGUAAUUAUCAAAUGGCACCACCACUGAACUUGAAAAUUUUCGCGACAUGCCCUUGUCCAGAAAGUACGAGUUUAAUUUAAUACGUGUAUUCCAUCGAGAAGAGAUAGUCAUAAAUAUGAACUAGGAAUUGCAAGGAGAAGUCAAAAACAACUUCAAAGAAUACAAUAAUGGAGAAGUAUUACUCCCUCCGUCCCGAGCUACUCGCUCACUUCUUUUUCGGCACGGAGAUUAAGGAAUGAGUGUAUAGGAAAGUCAAAAAUGACGGCUGUAGGUGAAAAUUUUUACUAAAAAUGGAAAGAGUGCAAGUAACUUGGGACGCCCAAAAAGGAAAUACGUGCGAGUAGUGCGGGACGGAGGGAGUAUUUUUUAUGAAGGUGUUAGGGAAACGCCAUAGAGGAAAUAAGGGGCAGUGUGGAGGAGGAAUAUCUCGAAUCACACAAGUAGAGCAGCACAAAUUUCGGGACGAAAUGUUUUUUAAAGAAGGUGGAAUGUGACGCCCCAGAAAUUUCGCACCAGGAUUUGAAGAAUAAUUUUUUUUAUGGAAACGAAAGAAUUUUUUUUGCGUUGGAGAUAAUAAUAAUUUUCGACAUGCAAUUCAAUGGAUUUUUUUAGCAAGCAACUAGUUGAAUUCAAUUUCAAAGUAUGAAUUGAGUAGCAUCUCAUUUUAUCACGUUGGACAAAGUACUCGGAAUUUGUGAAUCAAGACAUCACCUUGGAAAAUACAAACGUUGGGAGAGGAAAUUCCCAAUAAAUUGCAAUUGAAAGAAAGUAAAAAGGAUCUCCAAUUGGAAAUAAAAAUAAGAGAAGAUGCUAAGAGUUAUCAAAUGGUAUACUACACAUAUACAUAAGGGAAUGUAUGGACAUGUAUAAUGUUUAUGAAUGCACGGGAAAUUGCAAGUCAUAAUAUAACUCUUUCCCAAACAAGAAAUUCAAGAGACACACUUUACAAGGAAGAAGUCCAUCUUUCAUGGAAAAAGGUUACAUAAGAAUUUUGGGGAAGAAGACAUAUCUACUUUACAAAAUCUAUCCUACAUAGAGAGCUAUAAAUGGGCAAGGAAACAAUUGCUAUGAACUACACAAAUCCUUGAGGAUUUCCUCCACACCCAUCUCGAUUCCAUACACUACUCUAUGCCAAGAGGUCAAUUUGUACUCUCCUAGAGAUAGCAUGAGUUGUCCUUCCACCCGCUAAGGAAAUUGCCAAUGAAAUUCCCAAAAAUAGUUAGAUUUCUUCUUCAACAAAAGCCAAGGGAAAAUGUUAUUCAAGAAAAUUGUAAGGAGCCAUUUAAGAUCUUGCAAGAGUGUCUGUCACUACUCUCAUACAAAGCCAAGAUGGAGACAAGGAAUGAGAUAUCCCAAAUCUUUCCAAAGUGGAAGUAAUGACAAUUGGACGAAGAAUGGUGAGCUCAUCUCCUUAACCUAAAGAGUGAAAGUCCUUUUUUCCCACAUGAGAAAUUAAGGAACGAAAUCAACAAGUAUACUCCCAAAAACCUGCCACAAAGGGACAAAGAAAUCGGCUAUAUAAACAACACCAAUCCACACUUCCUUCACCCUCUUUAUCACUUAGAAAAUUUCAUCGGAGAAUCAACAAGGAGUGAGAGGAGAGGGAGGAAGCACUCGAACAUCACAACAAUUACGGAAUCACCACAGCAAGUUUUUUUAAAAAAAGGAUAUAUUUGGCUUGGAGGUAAAGUAAAGCCGACGCGACAAUUUUAAUUGAGGAGUAAACAUAUCAGAUUAAGCAAUAAGGUGGAGGCGUGCUGAUCAGAGUCGAUGUUACUUAAGUAAAUAAGGGUGGAUCUCUCGACGCUUCGUGUCUUCAUACGCGAGGUUGUUCUUUGGACCUUUCCACUGCAGUUUGUUAUGAGAGUAUAGUGAACUCUCAUCAUCAAAACUCUGAUUCAUUUUGAUGAAAUGGUAUUGUUAUUCAAAUCCUUGUAAUCGAAUACUUGGAUCUUAUCUUAUCAUAUUGUUUGACUUUUCAAUGUGUAAGUUCUAUCCCUAUUUCUUCCCUGUUUCUUUAAACCCUUUUAUUAGUCGUGAUUUAUCCGCUUUUGCUAUCUUUAGCAAAGUGCGGUCGUGACAACAAG